This 72-nucleotide transfer RNA is filed under the name Pleodorina starrii. RNAcentral's name for it is "tRNA-Thr". It matches the Rfam family "tRNA". Rfam says of the family: Transfer RNA (tRNA) molecules are approximately 80 nucleotides in length. Their secondary structure includes four short double-helical elements and three loops (D, anti-codon, and T loops). Lineage: Eukaryota; Viridiplantae; Chlorophyta; Chlorophyceae; Chlamydomonadales; Volvocaceae. The record is from RNAcentral.
GCUGUUGUAGCUCAGAGGUAGAGUGUUUGUCUUGUAAACAAAAGGUUUCUGGUUCGAUUUCAGACUGCGGCA